GACAGAGGUGCCAAGCGUUAGGCGGAAUCACUGGGCUUAAAGCGUGUGUAGGCGGAUUUUUAAGUACCUUGUGAAAUCCCACAGCUCAACUGUGGAACUGCUCGGUAUACUGGAAAUCUUGAGCCACUUAGGGGCUGUCGGAACAAGCGGUGGAGCGGUGAAAUGCGUAGAUAUCAGGAGGAACACCGGUGGCGAAGGCGGGUCUCUGGGCCGUAACUGACGCUGAGGAGCGAAAGCAUGGGGAGCGAACAGG
RNAcentral lists this ribosomal RNA (253 nucleotides) under uncultured bacterium. RNAcentral describes it as "partial 16S ribosomal RNA". It matches the Rfam family "Bacterial small subunit ribosomal RNA", at positions 524 to 776 of the family's 1533-position model. The record is from RNAcentral.